Molecule: ribosomal RNA, 499 nt
Filed under: uncultured bacterium
Lineage: Bacteria
Description: partial 16S ribosomal RNA
Rfam family: Bacterial small subunit ribosomal RNA
Source: RNAcentral
GAUGAACGCUGGCGGCGUGCCUAAUACAUGCAAGUCGAGCGAACAGACGAGAGUGCUUGCACUCUCUGACGUUAGCGGCGGACGGGUGAGUCACACGUGGGUAACCUACCUAUAAGACUGGGAUAACUUCGGGAAACCGGAGCUAAUACCGGAUAAUAUUUAGCUUCGCAUGAAGCAAUAGUGAAAGACGGUUCUGCUGUCACUUAUAGAUGGACCCGCGGUGUAUUAGCUAGUUGGUGAGGUAACGGCUCACCAAGGCAACGAUACAUAGCCGACCUGAGAGGGUGAUCGGCCACAUUGGAACUGAGACACGGCCCAGACUCCUACGGGAGGCAGCAGUAGGGAAUCUUCCGCAAUGGACGAAAGUCUGACGGAGCAAUGCCGCGUGAGUGAAGAAGGUUUUCGGAUCGUAAAACUCUGUUGUAAGGGAAGAACAAGUACGUUAGUAACUGAACGUACCUUGACGGUACCUUACCAGAAAGCCACGGCUAACUACGUG